AACGAACGCUGGCGGCAGGCCUAACACAUGCAAGUCGAGCGGGGGAGCAAUCCCUAGCGGCGGACGGGUGAGUAACGCGUGGGAACGUACCCUUUGCUUCGGAAUAGCCCGGGAAACUGGGAGUAAUACCGGAUGUGCCCUACGGGGGAAAGAAUUUCGGCAAAGGAUCGGCCCGCGUUGGAUUAGGUAGUUGGUGGGGUAAUGGCCUACCAAGCCGACGAUCCAUAGCUGGUUUGAGAGGAUGAUCAGCCACACUGGGACUGAGACACGGCCCAGACUCCUACGGGAGGCAGCAGUGGGAAUCUUAGACAAUGGGCGCAAGCCUGAUCUAGCCAUGCCGCGUGAGCGAUGAAGGCCUUAGGGUUGUAAAGCUCUUUCGUGGGGGGAAGAUAAUGACGGUACCCCAAGAAGAAGCCCCGGCUAACUCCGUGCCAGCAGCCGCGGUAAU
RNAcentral lists this ribosomal RNA (448 nucleotides) under uncultured bacterium. RNAcentral's name for it is "bacterial SSU rRNA". It matches the Rfam family "Bacterial small subunit ribosomal RNA", at positions 29 to 524 of the family's 1533-position model. The record is from RNAcentral.